GCCCGCCUAGCUCAAUCGGAUAGAGCGUCAGACUCUUACAAAGGCGGGAUCUGAAGGCUGCGAGUUCGACCCUCGCGGUGGGCU
This is a non-coding RNA of Moniliophthora roreri, 84 nucleotides long. NCBI's taxonomy places the organism in Eukaryota, Fungi, Basidiomycota, Agaricomycetes, Agaricales, Marasmiaceae. The record is from Rfam.